GGAUCCGUAGCUCAACUGGCGGAGCACCCGGCUCUUACCCGGGCGGAUGUGGGUUCGAUGCCCACCGGAUCCA
RNAcentral lists this transfer RNA (73 nucleotides) under Myxococcales bacterium. RNAcentral describes it as "tRNA-Lys". It matches the Rfam family "tRNA". Rfam says of the family: Transfer RNA (tRNA) molecules are approximately 80 nucleotides in length. Lineage: Bacteria; Pseudomonadati; Myxococcota; Myxococcia; Myxococcales. The record is from RNAcentral.